This 767-nucleotide long non-coding RNA is filed under the name Mus musculus (house mouse). RNAcentral's name for it is "predicted gene, 49802". Lineage: Eukaryota; Metazoa; Chordata; Mammalia; Rodentia; Muridae. The record is from RNAcentral.
GCAGAGAGUGAUAGCUCUGGCUCCUUCGAGUGGGCCUCUGUCCACGGGGCAUGCCUGGCCUGACUAUAACUGGAUACUCUCGGCAGGUUUGAGAGAAGAUGACCAUGGACAUGUUUCUGUAUGGUUUUGUUUUGUUUUGUUUUUGCUCACUGGUGAAUUCAUAUAUUUGUGAAUCACAUAUAUGGAGUUCAGUGGAGCCUGCAGAGAGGAAUAGUCUGUUUAUCUUAGACAUACUGAGUAUCGCAGAGAAAAUUUACUCUCAGCAAGUAGGAAUGGAGGGUUUGUGAAAGAUUUCUGUAUCAAGUUCAAGGCUGGCUUGGACCACAUGGCCUUCCCCCCCAGUUCAGAAUCUCAGUAAGCUGGUUGCCACAGCGUUGUUCAGAAGGGGAGAAAGGAGGGAUGUCCAUAGCUGGUGAUCCCUAUCUGUGCCUCUCGAUGGGUUUACUGCCCCUCAGAGAACUCCUUAACCAGACAGCUGUCAGCUCCAAGAGGAAACCGGAGAGCGUGUGGUGGCCAGUGCUCAGCCAUGGUGAUGUGGUCGCCACAGACAACUCAAGAAAGCUAACCACCAGCCCAUGUCUAGCAAAAUCAAUACACUCUCAGAAGCUUGCACACUGUGCCAGUGAAGUGUGGUCAGAUAGUGUUGAACACCAGGCAGGCCAUGUGCCAGUGCUGACCAAGAUUGUGCCCAGCAGGACAACUUUGGCCAUCUGUCUUCAUCCUAGUAAGAGCCAGCAGGCCAAUGAAAACAAACAAACCUAAGCACA